GGAAGGCAGUUCUGUGUUGACAUGUUUAAAUGGAGGCUCGGCUUUCAAGGCAAGGCAUGAAGCGAAAUACGGACAAUUAUCGGAGAAAGAGACAGUCCGACAGAUAGGCAGGCUUCUGGGAUAGCAGCACGCUUAGAGGCCCAGCCUAUUUCCGCAGGAAAAUGCAGGAAACCUGCUCUUCACAUCUGAAAGAUGUAUGUAAAUUCCUGGCUGAUAUAUCAUCAAGAGACAGUCUGUAAUUCUGACAUCAGCUGUGCUUUUUUGCACGCCUGGGACAGUCUGUAUGACGAACUGCUAUGCUAGCAAAAUGCAAUCCUCUACUUCCUUUCACCCAGGUACAUUCCCCCACCCCCCUUGAAGCAUUCAUCAAAGAUGAAUUGUAGUGGCUGAAUGUGAGUCUCGAGCCAGGAAGUCCUUGACUUCAAAUGUCUCAUCUACCAUGAACUCAUUAAGCUGCAGCCUGGUCAAGUGGCUGUGUCACCUGGUUGUUCAGCUUUGAUGGGUAGCUGCUGAGCUGAUGCUGGAAGUUUAACAAACUGAAGGGCAUUAUCCUCUUCUUCUUUUUAAAAAAAUUAUUUUAUUUACAUCUCGCCUUUCUCCCAAUGCAGGACCCAAGGCGUCUGACAGGAGAAAUUGAAACAGAUACAAGAAAAAGCACACUGUAUGGAUAUUUAAAAGCAAUUCAGUGAGUGAUUCUAUUAAAAACAAGGAU
Molecule: non-coding RNA, 712 nt
Organism: Podarcis lilfordi (Lilford's wall lizard)
Lineage: Eukaryota; Metazoa; Chordata; Lepidosauria; Squamata; Lacertidae
Source: the annotation of a GenBank genome assembly